CGGAGGAAAGUAGGGGAUCGAAAGACCUCAUGCUUUUGGAGCGGCCGAUGUCUGAUUAGCUAGUUGGUAAGGUAAUGGCUUACCAAGGCAACGAUCAGUAGUUGGUCUGAGAGGACGACCAGCCACACUGGGACUGAGACACGGCCCAGACUCCUACGGGAGGCAGCAGUGGGGAAUUUUGGACAAUGGGCGCAAGCCUGAUCCAGCAAUGCCGCGUGAGUGAAGAAGGCCUUCGGGUUGUAAAGCUCUUUCAGUUGAGAAGAAAAGAUUGUGACUAAUAAUUGCAAUUCAUGACGGUAUCAACAGAAGAAGCACCGGCUAACUACGUGCCAGCAGCCGCGGUAAUACGUAGGGUGCGAGCGUUAAUCGGAAUUACUGGGCGUAAAGGGUGCGCAGGCGGUUCUGUAAGUCAGAUGUGAAAUCCCCGGGCUUAACCUGGGAACUGCGUUUGAAACUACAAAGCUAGA
RNAcentral lists this ribosomal RNA (467 nucleotides) under uncultured bacterium. RNAcentral's name for it is "bacterial SSU rRNA". It matches the Rfam family "Bacterial small subunit ribosomal RNA", at positions 197 to 645 of the family's 1533-position model. The record is from RNAcentral.